UACGUAGGGUGCGAGCGUUGCCCGGAUUUAUUGGGCGUAAAGGGCGCGUAGGCGGUGAGAUGCGUCCGUUGUGAAAUCGCCCGGCUCAACUGGGCGGGGUCAGCGGAUACGGUCUCACUUGAGCAAGCUAGGGGGCAAUGGAAUUCCCGGUGUAGUGGUGGAAUGCGUAGAUAUCGGGAGGAACACCAGUGGCGAAGGCGGCUUCCUGGACCGACACUGACGCUGAGGCGCGAAAGCUAGGGGAGCAAACGGG
This 253-nucleotide ribosomal RNA is filed under the name uncultured bacterium. RNAcentral describes it as "partial 16S ribosomal RNA". It matches the Rfam family "Bacterial small subunit ribosomal RNA", at positions 524 to 776 of the family's 1533-position model. The record is from RNAcentral.